CCGGGUUUCCAGCCCGUUUGUCAGGCGGGAGCCCGGGCGAACGCGACGGAAACGCCACUUGGGGGGGCUCGGGCUCCUGCGAGGGACCUCCCCGCCCGCUCGGUAGGCGCAGGGAGGAGGCGCCGGGGAGAGAGGCCGGUAACUCUUAUUUUCCCAGGAUUCUCUCCCUUUCCCAGACUUUCAUAGCCUGACACACCUCUCAGACAGAAGGAAGAAUGACAGAGGAGGAAUAUUAUCCCAAGUUGCAUUAGGAACAGUGUCGUCAACUAUUAUAAAAGACAGGCUUUGCAUUCGGAGAGAUGUGCAGUGCCCCUUCCGGGCCUAACACCCCGCAGCUGAAGCAGAAAUGAAAACUCUGAAUUCCACCAGAAACACUCACAGAAGGGCCACAGGAAUGAGCAUUCUCCUUGAUCUUCUGAGUCAUCCCCUGAAGGAAGUUCUUCCAGUUUUCUCAGCUGGCAGCAGCAGAAGGAAGGACCAUUACUUCAUCGGUCUAUUCCAAGGCUCUCUUCUAGAAGUUGGAAAACACAAGGUGCUCGACACACCCUCCCGCCAAUCCCGAGUCUCCAGGAAUCCAUGCUGUGGGGAGGUGGGAAGUGGAGCUAAUAAGCCAACGGAUUGCUAAUGAAACGACCGAUGGAAACCAUAAAAACAUUCAGCUGCAUUACCCUAGAGAGCCACAAGAUGGCGACAUGUUCCUUAAUGACUUCAGGAUGGACAAGGGCCAGCGGGCCAGCUUCUCCCCAUGCUGACAACUGAUUCCAGUUCUCUUCCUGUGGUUCCCUUAGUUCAUUGGCUGGAAUUUCUCUGCACCCAUGCUUGGUUCCUUUCAGUGUGGCUCUAUCGUAAAACAAAACAGAAAUAUGUUCA
Marmota flaviventris (yellow-bellied marmot) is the source of this 870-nucleotide long non-coding RNA. RefSeq lists it as uncharacterized. The record is from RefSeq and is a predicted model, not a curated record. Lineage: Eukaryota; Metazoa; Chordata; Mammalia; Rodentia; Sciuridae.